UUUUAAUAGCUUAUUUAUUAGAGCAUGAUAUUGAAGAUAUCAAGGAGAUUUUUAUCUUAAAAUAU
Molecule: transfer RNA, 65 nt
Filed under: Xylobanellus sp. UPOL A00604
Lineage: Eukaryota; Metazoa; Arthropoda; Insecta; Coleoptera; Lycidae
Description: tRNA-Phe
Source: RNAcentral